Molecule: ribosomal RNA, 38 nt
Filed under: Trebouxia sp. P-71-IIb
Lineage: Eukaryota; Viridiplantae; Chlorophyta; Trebouxiophyceae; Trebouxiales; Trebouxiaceae
Description: partial 26S ribosomal RNA
Source: RNAcentral
UCGACCUGAGGUCAGGCAAGAACACCCUCUGAACUUCC